Molecule: ribosomal RNA, 493 nt
Filed under: uncultured organism
Description: bacterial SSU rRNA
Rfam family: Bacterial small subunit ribosomal RNA
Source: RNAcentral
AACGAACGCUGGCGGCGCGUUUUAAGCAUGCAAGUCGAACGAUAACCGGUUUUCGGACCGGGGAAAGUGGCGCACGGGUGAGUAACACGUAGAUAAUCUGCCUCUGUGUUGGGGAUAGCUUAUGGAAACAUGGGGUAAUACCGAAUGAGGUCUUGUUGCUGGUAGAGCGACGAGAAGAAAGGUGCUUAAGGCAUCGCACGGAGAUGAGUCUGCGGCUCAUUAGCUAGUUGGCGGGGUAAGAGCCCACCAAGGCAAUGAUGAGUAGCCGGCCUGAGAGGGUGGACGGCCACACUGGGACUGAGACACGGCCCAGACUCCUACGGGAGGCAGCAGCUAAGAAUCUUCCGCAAUGGGCGAAAGCCUGACGGAGCGACGCCGCGUGAACGAAGAAGGCCGAGAGGUUGUAAAGUUCUUUUCUUGAGGAAGAAUAACCCGGGGAGGCAAUGCCCUGGGGAUGACGCUACUUGAGGAAUAAGCCCCGGCUAAUUACGUG